CAGCCGCCGCGGUAAAACCAGCACCUCAAGUGGUCAGGAUGAUUAUUGGGCCUAAAGCAUCCGUAGCUCGUUUUGUAAGUUUUCGGUUAAAUCCAUACGCUUAACGUAUGGGCUGCCGGGAAUACUGCAUAACUAGGAAGUGGGAGAGGUAGACGGUACUCGAUAGGAAGGGGUAAAAUCCUUUGAUCUAUUGAUGACCACCUGUGGCGAAGGCGGUGUACCAGAACACGUUCGACGGUGAGGGAUGAAAGCUGGGGGAGCAAACCGGAUUAGAUACCCGGGUAGUCCCAGCUGUAAACGAUGCAGACUCGGUGAUGGGAUGGCCUCGAGCCAACCCAGUGCUGCUGGGAAGCCUUUAAGUUUGCCGCUUGGGAAGUACGUACGCAAGUAUGAAACUCAAUGGAAUUGGCGGGGGAGCAC
Molecule: ribosomal RNA, 420 nt
Filed under: uncultured Nitrososphaerota archaeon
Lineage: Archaea; Thermoproteati; Nitrososphaerota
Description: bacterial SSU rRNA
Rfam family: Archaeal small subunit ribosomal RNA
Source: RNAcentral